UUUGAAAGAGCUUUUUAGAAAUCCUGGAGAACUAUUGCUCAAGACUACUUUAAACAAUAACAAAAUGUGGCUCCUUGAAAGCAAAAUAUAAAGAAAUGAGGGGUGGGUUUAAGGGUUUUUCACAGUGCUGUUGGGAUGUUUAUUUACUGCACACUGCAGUUAGUGUGCUAGAGUCACUGCCUGCCUAAUGGUGUCGAGAGGACUGGAUUGAUUGGUUGCUUUUUGUUUUUUUAUCUUAAGCAGGCUCAAAGUCGGCUGUUUCUGAACCUUGUAAAUAUGUCUCCUGGUCUUUAUUUUGCUAAGACGGGGACUCUGUGUCUUUAUUAACCCUACAAUAUUCCUUAUAUUUGCCAAAUAGUUGAAUGAGUGCUGUAUUUAUUCUUGGGUAAUGAUGCAUUUGUUGAUUGUGAUGUACAAACAAUGUGUCAGAUAAUUUUAUUUCUCCUUAGGAUAAUAAUAAUAAUACCUAUAUAAUGAAACCAAUGACAAAGCAGGGAAAGUGUUGUGAACACACAAAGGACAGGGUGCACUUUCCUUUACCUCGUCCAACACUUGCUACUGUGAAAGGUAAAACAUGGAGCAUGGCUACAAAGUGUUGGUUGAAGCAAAGAACACGUACAAAGCAGCUUAGUUCCAUUUGGCAAAACCUUAAAUCCGACUUUAUAAACUGAGUUCUUUCCGCCAAAGCUUCUGAGUGUGAAUCUUAAUUAGUAAAUAUGUUGCAGACUGUUAUGGGACUCUGUAUCUCAAACUUAUAAUUUUCUUUUUGAUUUUUAUCAGCCAGCUUGUGCUCAUAAUCCUGGAAAGAAAAUAAAUGUGGCAAUAAUACUCUGUUAUGUAAUGCUAGUUUGAUUUCAGUAGUGAUGUUGUAUGUAUACUUACUAUGAUGUACUAAAUAGAAAUGCCCCAAAAUCAUUCGUGCUUCCAGUUCUUAAUUCUCUGUAGUCCGAGAUCUUAAUGCAUGAAACCCAGUGAACCUGUCUGUCUCUCUCUCUCUCUCUGUUCCUUGUUUUUUUUUUUUUAAAAAAACAAGUUUUAUACCAAGUGUACUUAUGUCUGUGAACCAUUACUGAAAACUAGAGCUCUUUGGUUUUUGGGGGGAUGACGUGGGCUGAUGGUGUAUUGUGCAGAACAGUGGAAAAAAAACAAAAAAGCAGAGCAUCUUUGCUGCGAUGUCCUUUUGUUUAUGACAGCACCGCCUUUCCUUGUGCAGCCAGCGCUUGACCUUGUGGUGAAAACAGCUGAAAGCAGCAUCUUUUAAUCACUGUGGAUUAUUAUCUUUUUUUUUUUUUUUUUAAAUUUGCUAUAGAUUGAUCUGUAUCUGGAUACACAGGAAUCAGCUGGUGCUUUUUUUGUUUGUUUGUUUUUUUGUGUGUGUGUGUGUUUUUUUUUUCUUGUCUUCUUGAUUGCUAAUAUGAUCAUUUGAGUUUCCUGAUAGUGCAUUGUAACAGCUGGUUCUUGGGGGUUUUUUUUUCUGUCACAUUGACUGCACUGAGCUUUAGACAUCAGCCUAGCUGAUGAAUGCAAACUUGGACAUUUAAAAAGAAAAAACUGGUACUGGCCACGAGAGGUUUUUAGAAGCCAAUAAAAUAAAGAUCAUAUUUUGUAUAGUGAUGCAUAAAGUAUGUAGCAGUUUCUGUUUGAUGUGAAGCUCCUUAUGAAAUCAUUUUUCCUUUUAAAGAGGUUGGAGUUUUUCCCCAAUUCUCUGCAUGCAGACCUGCAGUUAUGACUUUUGGAUGUAGGUGCGUCUUCUGCCACCUACUGACAAAAGAUGGCUCCUGCACUUGUGAAACCCUUUGUGCCACUUUUGGGUAAUAUUUAAGGAAAACUAGAAUCCUGGAAAUGCACAAAUAAUUGACAGAGAACAUCUGGCACAAGUGUGUGUGCGCACAGGUGUUUGUAGGUGUGCUCAGAGCAGCACGACUAGAUCUCCAAUCUAAACCUCAGUUUUAAGGUUAUUGCUUGAAACUCUUGACACUGGUUUGAGAUGCUUCGCAUUGACAACACCGUGUCCUUGUUUACUUAUUUGAAGUAGCUCCCGGAAAACCAUUUUAAAUCUCUUUCUGGAAACAUUUUUAAAGACUUGUGGUGUUUUUGGCUUUCUGUUCUGAUUUUUAUAUAAAUGUGGGUUUUUUUCUCGUUUUUGUAUUGUCCCUAUCAUGUAUUGGAUACAUGCAACUGCAGUAUCGUGUCCUAAUUGUAUCUUGUAUUAUGCAUAUGAAAUAAAUUUGGAGUUUUACCGA
Molecule: long non-coding RNA, 2243 nt
Organism: Astatotilapia calliptera (eastern happy)
Lineage: Eukaryota; Metazoa; Chordata; Actinopteri; Cichliformes; Cichlidae
Source: Ensembl